UUUGAGUAAAUUGAAUAAAUU
This 21-nucleotide non-coding RNA is filed under the name Caenorhabditis elegans. The record is from RNAcentral. Lineage: Eukaryota; Metazoa; Nematoda; Chromadorea; Rhabditida; Rhabditidae.